CCUACGGGAGGCUGCAGUGGGGAAUAUUAGACAAUGGGCGAAAGCCUGAUCCAGCCAUGCCGCGUGUGUGAAGAAGGCCUUCGGGUUGUAAAGCACUUUCAGUGGGGAAGAAAGCCUUGGGGCUAAUACCCUCGAGGAAGGACAUCACCCACAGAAGAAGCACCGGCUAACUCCGUGCCAGCAGCCGCGGUAAUACGGAGGGUGCGAGCGUUAAUCGGAAUUACUGGGCGUAAAGCGCGCGUAGGCGGUCUGAUAAGCCGGUUGUGAAAGCCCCGGGCUCAACCUGGGAACGGCAUCCGGAACUGUCAGGCUAGAGUGCAGGAGAGGAAGGUAGAAUUCCCGGUGUAGCGGUGAAAUGCGUAGAGAUCGGGAGGAAUACCAGUGGCGAAGGCGGCCUUCUGGACUGACACUGACGCUGAGGUGCGAAAGCGUGGGUAGCAAACAGGAUUAGAUACCCGAGUAGUC
RNAcentral lists this ribosomal RNA (465 nucleotides) under Vreelandella stevensii. RNAcentral's name for it is "partial 16S ribosomal RNA". It matches the Rfam family "Bacterial small subunit ribosomal RNA", at positions 338 to 795 of the family's 1533-position model. Lineage: Bacteria; Pseudomonadati; Pseudomonadota; Gammaproteobacteria; Oceanospirillales; Halomonadaceae. The record is from RNAcentral.